Molecule: long non-coding RNA, 1673 nt
Organism: Nyctereutes procyonoides (raccoon dog)
Lineage: Eukaryota; Metazoa; Chordata; Mammalia; Carnivora; Canidae
Exons: 3
Source: RefSeq, a predicted model, not a curated record
CUUUGAUGAAAUCUCGAGAAAGAAGCAUCAUAUGGUGGCAAGAAUGAGAGGCUGAGUCAGAUCUACUCUGGUUCUGCUGCCAAUGCACAUGUAGAUGGUCUACAGUCUUCAACGAACUCAUUGUUCUCUGGAUUCCGUUGGGGCUCAGCCCAUGGCAAACCCAGAAGGAAACCAAAGGGAGGAAGGGAAGCAGGACGCACAGGCCUCAGAACCGAAGGUUGGAGCUGGAAGUGGUCUCUCUUACUAUUACAUGAUACACUUGAAGAAUAUUUGCUUUUUGUCCCUGUGACCUUGGCCUCUGUGGAUUUGAAGAUCCUAGUGCCCAAGGGAACAAAGCGAAGAAUGGGGCUAUUGUGCUGACUGGGGUCAUUGAUCCCCAUUACCAGGGAGAAAUUGUGUUGCUGCUACAAGAGGAUGGCAGAGAGCUGUGUGAAGAGCACAGAGGAUUUGCUGGAUGCCUCCUACUACUCAAUUGUCCAGUCAUCCUUGUCAAUGGGGAGUGGUAGCCACAGAAUAAAAUAAGACCACUAAGGAUGCAAAUCCCAUAAGAAUAAAGGUUUGAGUCCCUCCUACCAGGAAAAGAACUCCAUCCAGCUGAGAUGCUCCCAGAGGAUAAGAGAAACACGAAGUGAAUGUGGAAGAAAACAGAUAUGAUCACCACCUACUUAGACCUCAUGUGCAGUCACAGAAGCAGGGAGGGUAAUAGGUAUGUUUCAUAUUAAUUACUUACUUUUCCAUUAAUUACUUACUUUUCCCUUAUCCUAGCCAUCUGAUACAAAGAACACCAGUGUUAACUAAUAUUUCAGGUUUCAGGUGGAACCAUGACUGACCAGACAUUUUCCUGUAAUGUGGACUCUAAAUGUCUCCUGUAACAGGGACACAAGUUUGCACCUGCAUUAAGAGCAAAAGAUGAGGGGCGCCUUGGUGGCUCAGUCAGUUAAGCAUCUGCCUUUGGCUCAUGUCAUGUUCCCAGGGUCCUGGGAUUGAGCCCCACGUCGGGCUCCCUGCUCAGUGGGGAGCCUGCUUCUCCCUAUCCCUCUGCCUGCUAUGCCCCCUGCUUGUGCUCAUGCUUUCUCUCUCUGUCAAAAAACAAAAAACAAAAAACCCCCAAAAACAAACAAACAAACAAAACAGCAAAAGUUGAUGCUGAAGGAGGAAGGGGCUGGACCCUGCUGAGUAUCUUCUGUUCACGUCUCCAGAUCCAAUCUCCAUUCUCCUCUUCCCCACUCUGUGCUCUAAGAGGAGAGCCUUCCUGGGAAAUGUGGAAGUCUCCCUUGCCUUCUGUUUCUGAAUAGGUUCAAAUUAUGGGGACACCUACAAGGAGACUAGAGGGAGGGAUAGGAGGGAGGUUGGAAUGUUGAUUUCCAGGCACCCUCUCUGAGGAGGUUGCUGCCUGGUGGCUGUUUUAGUUAGCUAUCAAAAAACUAACUGACUGGGGCACCUGCAUGGCUCAGUUGGUUGCCUCCAGUUCUGGUCUCAUGAUCCCAGGGUUGGGCUUCCUGCUCAGGGGAAGUCUGUUUCUUGCUCUCCCUCUGCCUCUCCUCUUGCUCGUGCUCUCUCUGUCAAAUAAAUAACUAAAAUCUUUUAUUAAAAAAAAAAAGAAACCUGACUGACUUAGCAGUGCGUGGGUGCCCCAGUGGGUUAAGCAUCUGACUCUUGGUUUCAGCUCAGGU